Molecule: RNA transcript, 2448 nt
Organism: Betta splendens (Siamese fighting fish)
Lineage: Eukaryota; Metazoa; Chordata; Actinopteri; Anabantiformes; Osphronemidae
Gene: dpys
Gene name: dihydropyrimidinase
Exons: 9
Source: RefSeq, a predicted model, not a curated record
GGUUAGUCACAGUUUAGCCACUGCACAGUCAGAGCAGCGCGGGAGCUGCUGCGUUUUGCUAGUGAGAGUAGCUGAGGGUUUGACUCUGAAGUCACAAAUGGCCACGGGUGGAAUCCUGAUCAAAGGAGGUAAAGUGGUCAACGAGGACUGCUCCACGUUCAGCGACGUCUACAUAGAAAACGGGAAAAUCGCCGAGGUGGGGCCGGACCUGCAGGUCCCGGCGGGGGCGCGGGUCAUCGAUGCCACCGGCAAACUGGUGAUUCCCGGCGGCAUCGACACGCACACGCACAUGGAGCUGGCGUUCAUGGGCACAAAGGCUGUGGACGACUUCCACAUCGGCACCAAGGCCGCUCUGGCUGGAGGCACCACCACCAUCCUGGACUUUGUCAUCCCCCAGAAAGGCAAGUCCCUCCUGGAGGCCUACGAGCGCUGGCGGAACACGGCCGACCCCAAGGUCUGCUGCGACUACUCGCUGCACGUCGCCGUCACGUGGUGGAGCGAGCAGGUCGGGAGGGAGAUGGAGACGCUGGCAAAGGAGAAAGGGGUCAACUCCUUCAAGAUGUUCAUGGCCUACAAGGACGUGUUCAUGCUGGCUGACGCAGAGCUCCUCGCCGCCUUCUCCCGCUGCAGGGAGAUCGGAGCCAUAGCUCAGGUGCACGCUGAGAACGGGGACCUGAUCGCAGAGGGGGCCAAGAAGAUGCUGUCCAUGGGCAUCACGGGGCCCGAGGGCCACGAGCUGUGCCGGCCCGAGGAGGUGGAGGCCGAGGCCACGCAGAGGGCCGUCACCAUCGCCCACUCGGUCAACUGCCCGCUGUACGUGGUGCACGUGAUGAGCAAGUCUGCGGCCAAGGUUGUGGCCGCGGCGCGCAGAGGCGGCCGUGUGGUGUUCGGGGAGCCCAUUGCAGCUGGGCUGGGCACAGAUGGAACCCACUACUGGCACAAGGACUGGGCCCAUGCCGCUGGCUUCGUCAUGGGCCCCCCCCUGCGGCCCGACCCCAGCACCCCUGGGUAUCUUAUGGAUCUGCUGGCCAACGACGACCUCAGCGUGACGGGAACGGACAACUGCACCUUCUCCGUGUGCCAGAAGGCUCUGGGUAAAGACGACUUCACCAAGAUCCCCAACGGCGUGAACGGCGUGGAGGACAGGAUGUCUGUGAUCUGGGAGAAGGGAGUGCACAGCGGCAAAAUGGACGAGAAUCGAUUUGUGGCCGUCACCAGCAGCAACGCGGCCAAAAUCUUCAACUUCUACCCGCAGAAGGGCCGCAUCGCCAAGGGCUCGGAUGCUGAUGUGGUUGUGUGGGACCCCAGAUCGACAAGCGUGGCUCUAACGCCCACCCCCCCCCCCAAACUCCCGGCAGGACGAUUUCAGCCAGAACCCACCACCAGGCCGUGGACUACAACAUCUUCGAGGGCAUGCAGUGCCACGGCGUGCCCGUGCUCACCGUGUCCAGGGGCGCGGUGGCGUACGAGCGCGGGCUGCUGAGCGCGACGCCAGGCCAUGGCCGCUUCAUCCACAGGAAGCCGUUCUCCCAGUUCGUUUACAAGAGAAUCGAGCAGAGGGAGCAGGUGGGAAAACCUUCAGCUGUGGUCAGAGAGCCGUACACGGGCCAAGUCGUAUCCGUGUGAGCGACCAGCACCUCAUCAGAGUCCAAAGUCACAACAACGGCCUUCAACACAGUUCACAGCUGGUGACAGUUUAACAUACAGUAGUGUGUGUGUGUGUGUGUGUGUGUGUGUGUGUGUGUGUGUGUGUGUGUGUGUGUGUGUGUGUGUGUGUGUGCGUGUGUAUGUCAGGCUUCCAGGUCAGCUCUGCUUCUUGCACAGGUCACUGGAACCUCUGCUCGUUGUGACAUACAUUACGUAAUCGCAGCAAGAAAAAAAGGGCUCAUGCAUGAUUUCAUGCCGAGAACGACCCAUGGGAUGAUUAGAAAGCCGGAUGUUUCAUCAGGACAUUUAAAUGUUGACGACUGUGUAAUUAAAGGCACUCGCGACCACAUGAAGUGUGAAUGCGCCUGAUUCUGCGUUCGCUAAAUCACAGCCUCUUCUUCUGAGGCGCUUGUUGCCGUGGGUAACAGGGCCGACGUUCUUCACCCAGAGCGUCGGUUCCUUUGAUUCAAUAUUCAGUAAAUUGCAGUGACACGCGUGAAGCAUUACAGUUUAUUUUGCCGACCCAGAUUAACUCCGCAUUUGCAUAUUCAUUAUCACACGGGCUCCAGCCGUGCCCAUGUACGGGCGCCAGUCAGCGCUUUCCCGCCGGAGCAGCCGGCAUCGCGGGGCUGCUUCCCAUUGGGCCGGUGCGCUGGCGUAGUGAAGAGCCGCAGGGUCAGAUGAGACACGAUGUGAGCUCAUUGGGUCGCCACACGGGUCAGCAGCAGUGUGUGCGUCACAGGAGGUCCACUCAUCCUGCAACGCCACCACUUCCUCCUCUUCUCAUGCCUGGUUUACGGU